Molecule: ribosomal RNA, 1303 nt
Filed under: human gut metagenome
Description: bacterial LSU rRNA
Rfam family: Bacterial large subunit ribosomal RNA
Source: RNAcentral
AGCGAAAGCGAGUUCGAACAGAGCGUUCAGUCGUUAGGCGUAGACCCGAAACCAGAUGAUCUAUCCAUGGCCAGGUUGAAGGUGUGGUAACACACACUGGAGGACCGAACCGACUAGUGUUGCAAAAUUAGCGGAUGAGCUGUGGAUAGGGGUGAAAGGCUAAACAAAUCUGGAGAUAGCUGGUUCUCCCCGAAAACUAUUGAGGUAGUGCCUCGUGUAUGACUCCAGGGGGUAGAGCACUGUUAUGGCUAGGGGGACAUGGCGUCUUACCAAACCAUGGCAAACUCCGAAUACUUGGAAGUUUGAGCACGGGAGACAGAGCACCGGGUGCUAACGUCCGGACUCAAGAGGGAAACAACCCAGACCGCCGGCUAAGGUCCCUAAUAUUGACUAAGUGGAAAACGAAGUGGAAAGGCUAAGACAGUCAGGAAGUUGGCUUAGAAGCAGCCAUCCUUCAAAGAAAGCGUAAUAGCUCACUGAUCGAGUCUUUCUGCGCGGAAGAUGUAACGGGGCUAAGUCAAUAACCGAAGCCGCGGAUUCACACUUAUGUGUGAGUGGUAGGGGAGCGUUCUGUAAGCCUGCGAAGGUGACUCGUAAGGGUUGCUGGAGGUAUCAGAAGUGCGAAUGCUGACAUGAGUAACGUUAAAGCGGGUGAAAAGCCCGCUCGCCGUAAGCCCAAGGUUUCCUGCUCUACGUUCAUCGGAGCAGGGUGAGUCGGCCCCUAAGGUGAGGCUGAGAAGCGUAACUGAUGGGAACAAGGUUAAUAUUCCUUGACCACCGCUGAAUGCGAAGGGGGGACGGAGUAUUGAAGAUCAUCCGGGUGUUGGAUAUCCCGGUUUGCGAGCGUAGGAGGCUGACAGGCAAAUCCGUCAGCGAAUCUCCGAGGCAAAGCAUCGAGCUCUCUUUUGAGCGAAGUGAUUGGAUGUGCUUCCAGGAAAAGCCUCUAAGCUCCAGUUCAGCGGGACCGUACCGCAAACCGACACUGGUGGGCGAGCUGAAUAUGCUCAGGCGCUUGAGAGAACUCAGGAGAAGGAACUCGGCAAAUUGACACCGUAACUUCGGGAUAAGGUGUGCCUUUGUAGCGUGGAGGGAGAAACACCCCGAGCGCGAAGAGGUCUCAGAUAAUCGGUGGCUGCGACUGUUUAUUAAAAACACAGCACUCUGCAAAGACGAAAGUCGACGUAUAGGGUGUGAUGCCUGCCCGGUGCUGGAAGAUUAAUUGAUGGGGUGCAAGCUCCUGAUCGAAGUCCCAGUAAACGGCGGCCGUAACUAUAACGGUCCUAAGGUAGCGAAAUUCCUUGUC